RNAcentral lists this long non-coding RNA (20961 nucleotides) under Vitis vinifera (wine grape). RNAcentral's name for it is "long non-coding RNA (VVIN_LNC007433)". Lineage: Eukaryota; Viridiplantae; Streptophyta; Magnoliopsida; Vitales; Vitaceae. The record is from RNAcentral.
UGCAUUUAUUAAAACCUUCCAUUUCAUUUUUUUCAUUUGUUAAAAUAUCAUCAACUACCGGUUCACUUAUUACAUAACAUUUGUACAAUCAGUUCUAAGCAAAUAAAUGAGAAAGAAGCAUUCAAAUCACUCAUACAUACAUACAUAGGUCCUCAUCGGCCUUUCAAACUGAAGAAUCAAUGGUUUGAAAUGUAGAAGGGCAUUUGGAACUGAAUGUUUGAGAUUGAGGGCGGUUGGGCUUGGAUUCUCCGCGGUUGAAAAACUUGGUUGUCCAUGAUGGUGGAGAAACACAAGUACACCUGGGGCAAAGCUCAAGUGCAAGAUUGAGCAGACCAGUGCAAGCUUUCAGGAGUCUAUAAUAUAGCGGGGAAUAUGAGAGCGCAAAAAUAAUAACUGGGAGGAAUGCAACCGAGUAUAGGACAAUUUUGGUCCACCUUUCCUUAUUCUGUAUCAUAAGGAUGACUGUUGCACCAAAUGCCACCAUCAUCAUCGACACGGAAAGGAUUAAAAACGUAAAACCGAGCAUCAGCUUUCGAAGAAGAGACUUCUUGAAGUCUUGUAACUGAAAUGGAGAUGUGAGGAUUGAGAGAAAUGUGAUGACAGAUGUCAAGGCGUAAGUGAGGGAGAUUACAUCAGCCAGGGUGAAAACCACGAAGAAUGGUUGAGAAAGGAGGAGUGGGAUACCAGUGCUUUGAUUUGGUCCUCCUGGUAUAGUGUAGGCUGCAGCAAAGGCAACGGUAGCAAUAAGAACAGCCACAAUGGUGCAGUUUUCAGCGGUGCGCUUCAGCCAUUCUUUGGCUUCCUCAUGAAGUUCACAGUAGUUGGAAGCAAAUAAUUCAUCUGCAGUCUGGUUGUUAUGGUUGAAGACCUUGAGGAAAUGGGAUUUAGAGUAUUCCUUCACACGCUGCAUAUAGAAGAAAAACCACAUGAACCAGUAGUACUCUCAUUUUUGGGCCAUUAUCAUCAUAUUAACUCAAGCUACUGGAUCAUGGACCCUAACAAGAUUAUGAAUGGGGUAGUGGAAGUGCACCUCAAACAAGAGCAACUCCUCUUGCAAUUGGAUUGCAGGGGAUCGUGUUUUUCUCGAGACGUAGCGUUUUCCUUUCUUUCCAAUCAUAUGCAGAAUGGAGUUCCCUUUAGUGUCUGUUGCCCGUAGUAGCCUCCUGGCUGGCAUUUCCAUCUCAACUACCAUAUCAAAAAUCUCUAUCUGGCGGUAAUUGAUCGCUACAUGAAGUAUGUUCCUUCCUUGGUCAUUAUAAUGCUCAAUUGCCUGAGGGUAUUUCUUGAGUAUUUCACUGACAAUCUCUGGAAUGCCUGACAUUGUUGCUAAAAACAAUGGAGUUUCCUUGUUCCUGAUAUUGUUGAAUCUAGUUCUAUUGCCUUUUGGAGAGGUUUUUCCUUUCUUAUCAUCUGGGUGCUGCAGGACAAUAGAGGGCUUCACUUUUUCCCUUUUUUUUGAUGAUACCAAUGAUCCUCCUCCUUUCUCUUGCACAGAAAUGGGCUUUGUAGGCACACCUCGGUCCACUGCUUGAGGAUUCGUAGCCUCCCAUGAAGUAUCACUUUCUAGUAACUUACUGGCAAGUUCGCAAGCUGCUUCAUAUCUAUGCUUUUCUUCCAAAAGUGCUUCCCAAAUGGGCCAUCUAAAGCGUGAUUUAGCUUUUCAAUAAAAUAAAAGUCAGUAGUUCCCUUAUAUUUAGCAUGAAAACUUCUCAAGAACGAAGAACAAUAAAUUCAAAUGCUUCAUAUGAAUGACAGCGCAAACGACCCUCUAUUGAUAAUACUAAGAAAAGAUUUUGUGUAAGUAAAAUUCCAGGUUCUUUUUACACAGAAGCUUAAGGAAAAAACCUAAAUUCAUUUAAUUUGUUGAAGUUAAGACUAUGUUUGAUAACUAUUCUUAAAAAUAGUUUUUUAUUUUAUUUUUAUUUUUAUUUUUUAUAGAAAAUUUAGAAAACAUAUUUGGUAGGCUUUUGAUACAAAAUAGUUCUUUCAGAGUUUAUUCUCAUAACAAGUUAUUUUUUAUAAUAAAUUUUAAGUAUUUUUAAUUAUUUUUAUGCUUUAAACAACCAUUAGAAAGAUGGAGAAUACUUUGAAAAUAUUUGCAUUGUAGGCGGGUGUAUAAUAACUUUAUAUAGAGAAUAAGCAUGUAAAAUUGUUUCCAUAUACAUUUGAGUUGAUAAAUAAAAUUAUUUUCAAAAAUUGUUUUUUGAUAAUUAAGAACUAUUUAAAUAAAAAAAAAUUGUUUUUAAAAACAUUUAACUGAGAAUUAUUCCCAAAAAUUGUUUUUUUUUUUAAUAUUAAUUGUCUUAAAAAAUGUUAUGAAGCUCUCAAAUGUUCCUUUAAAAAAAAAAAAAAAAAAUUACAGUUUUAAUGGGACAAAAAAAGAAAAAAAGAAAAAAAAAAUAACAUUCAAAUAUGCCGUGAAUCUGUCCUAGUGGAGGGCUAAUUAAACAAAUGGUAAUUUUCUUUGUAUAUCAGCAUUUAAGACAUUAGACAAAGAAAUAAACAGUAGACUAUCAGAGUCCCAAGAACCUACCAUCAGAUUUAAGAUCUUGACACCGACUUCCCCUGGCCUUGUUUGAAAUACCUGAAAAACGCUUGGUUGGUAUGAAUUCCACGAUGUAAUUCUUCAGGGAAAAAAACAAAAAGACCAUGGAAAGUGAAAAACAGAUAGUAUGACAAACAGAAAGACUGGACGAACCUGGAAAACCUUUUCUUAGUUCUGUCAAAAGGAAGAAAAAAGAAAGGCAUUGAUAUUCAAUUUGCUAUUCCCAAAAGGAACGUAAGCCAAAGCCAUACCAAGGCAAGGACUACAAGCCCUCUUCUGAUUUUUAAACAACUUUUCAAAGUAUUUGGGCACAUACUGAAAACCCUUAUGAAAAUUAUAACAGUGCCAAAAGAAUUUAAUUAAUCCAGUGAGUGGAGAAGAGAAUAAAGAUACUAUACAAGAGUAGAUGAAUCGCCUCAGAUGUCCGUGUUCGCAUCCACUGAGAAAUGCCGAUGGGUUGCAUGCUAGAUGUUGAAGAGCCGUCAUUUGGUUAGAGUCCCAGGCGCUAAUUAAAUCUCCGUAUCUUUCCGCAAUCAACAGCGCCAAGUCUGUUCACAUAGUUUUUUACAGAAAUUAAAGAAACAACUAUAUUAGCACUAGAUUAGAGGUACAAAAGUGGAAAUCAACUCAAAAUUGAAUCUCAAUUAAUUAAGAUUUUCACUAAUUAAAAUACUUGUGAGGUAAUCCAUCUUCUUCCUAGUGGUUUACUGAGAACUCACCAAAAUUCUCAGUAAAUACGGAAAUAUGGAGAAUAGUUGUUCCAUCUUUCCUCUGCAAACAGGCUUUACGAUCUUCUUCAGUUUCAAAAUCCAUACGGUCAAGCUUCUCAGCUAGUAGCUUGAACAUUUCAUCUUUCCCGUACCGGACCGCUCGAAAGAGAGGCGUCUCUCCAAGGAUGUUACGAGCAGUAAGCAACUUCGGAGUUCUGUUCAAUAUUUCAGUGGCAACGUCAGUCAUGGAGUUGUUAGUGGCUACCUCGUGGAGGAUAGUGUUGUCCACAUCGUUUUUGGUGUUGGUGAGUCGGUCGUUAAGACUGGGGGGCAACAGUUUCAGUAACUCGAGAGCGAGAUCUCGCUGCUUGGAGUAACAGGCCAUAUGGAGAACGGUGUCUUUAUGUAUGGUGAUUGUGUGCAAUGGACCUUCGUCCUUUGGAAGUCUUUCGAAGCAAUCCAGCACAUCCUUGGAGUUCUUCUCCAUCAGAGCACGGUACAAAUCUCCGUUGAGUUGGUGGAUGCCUUUGGCCUUAUCCAUGUCCGCCAUGGGAGGUUCUUCAGAGAGGGAGACCAGAAUGGGCGUGUGGCUCGGAUGCAGUUGUACAUAAAAAAGAAUUAAAUUGUAAUGUGGAUAUUGCCUUUGAUGAUCCUUGUGAAUCUCGUGAUGAACAAUGAUUUUUUUCCCCAACUUAUUAAUUCUCAUUAGGGUAAGAUAGGACGAAUUACCUAACAACUUAAAUUUUGUAUGUAAAUAGACAUGCAUUUUUAUAUUAUUUUUAAUUAUUUAGAUAUUAUACUUUACACAACAUUUAAGGUUUCCUAAAUGUAAUCCAAUUUUAGAAUUUCUAUAUAAUAUUGUUACAUUUUUAUUUUGUUAGAGACAAGUUUUUAUUUAUGCUACAAAGUAGUUCAUCAUCUUUUCACUAAGGGAUUAAGGUAUUUUUUGGGAAGCAUUAUUUAAAAUAUUUUUAAGAAUAUUUUUUGAAAAUUGUUCUAUAAUAUUUUUAAAACAAAAAGUGUGUUUGAGAACUUUAAAUAUUUUUAAUUUAUUUUUUAUAUUUUUAAAAAUAACUUAAGUGGUGUUUGUUUUUUGGUUGAAUAGAAAAAACCAAAUAUUUUGACUUUUUCUAUUCACCUAAAAGUAACUUAUUGACAUCAACCAACAUCAUUAAACUAAAUUUAUUGAUAAUAAAUUCACUUUACCUAUGUUGGAUAGUAUCAACAAGUUACUUUUAGCUAAAUAGAAAAAGUCAAAAUAUUUAGCUUUUUCUAUUAAGCCAAAAAACAAACACCAUCUUAGAUAUGUAAUGCAUUAUUUUCAAUCAUUUUCUAUAUUUAUAUAAAUAUUUUUUAAAAAGAUAACUAUCAAUUAAAAAAUGACAAAACUAAAAAUAACUAAACCAUAUUCUUUGAAAACAUCUCAGUGCCUAUUUGAUAAUUGUUUUUAAGAACAAUUUUUUGUUAUUUAAAAAAAAAAAAAGAAAAACAUAUUUAACAACCAACAACUGUUUUAUAACAUAUAGAAUAAUUAAAAAUAAAAUAUUAGACAUAAAAAUUAUUUUUAAAAUAUAUUUAAAAAUAUUUAAAAUAUUUUAGGUUUUCAAAUAGAUUUUUCUUUUACAAAAUAUUAUAAAAUAAUUUUCAGAAAUUGUCAUCAAAAAUUGCUUUUUAUAACUGUUUUUCAAAACGUUGUCAAACUAGCUCUUAUUUUCUGCUUUCUAAUUCUCAAAAGUAUUUUCCCCUUUCCUGUUUUGGGAAGGGAAAAUUGUUUUAAAAUACAGUUAUGAAAUAGGGCUAAAUUCCUAUUUACAUCCAUAAUAAUUUGAACUGCCUAUAAUAUCACUUUUGCUAAUCAGUAAGAUCUGUUGGUGUGGUUGGUAGGCCAUGAACAGUUAUUUUGCUUUAAGACAUUGGCCAGUGCAUGCACCAUUCUACAAUGCACUGAGUCACGGACAGAGCAUCUUGUCCUUAAUGUCCAGUGCAUGCACCAUUCUACAAUGCACUGAGUCACGGACAGAGCAUCUUGUCCUUAAUGUCCAGUGCAUGCACCAUUCUACAAUGCACUGAGUCACCGACAGAGCAUCUUGUCCUUCCGUCGUAAAAGUCCAAUCUAUACGGAGAUGAAGGUGAUAAUAACAACGUCAAUUUUCAAUAGUGGACCCAUCCGAAACUGAGAAUUCAUUGAAGGCAGUUCUCAUCAUCAUUUCUGAGCCUACAAAUUCAAGCUAUCAUCGCCACAUCUGCCACCACCCCUCCACAAAAACCCGUCCAAAACCGCAACAUUGAAAAAUCCCUUGUGGUUAGUUCAAAUGCCGGACCCCAAGUGGAUAUUGGCCGAUCCCCAGAGUGCCGACUGCAUGGCAGCUGCAAGGUGGGCUGCGACGAGCGUUAAUAUGACUCUCAUUCCUCUAGUACAGAACUUAGAUAACGAUCACUUGUUUGAUUACCCUUACUUUUCUGAAUAAGCCAAAAAGGAUAACGAUCACUUGUUUGAUUACCCUUACUUUUCUGAAUAAGCCAAAAAGGAGAAAUUAAUGGACAUGUAGCUGAUUGACAACUAAUUGAUUUGCAUUUUAUUUAAAAAGUAUUUUAAGUGAGAUUUUGUCUCAAUAUGGGAUUUAAAAACAAAUCUUUUAUUUUAAAAAUGAAACAUUGUUUUUUAAAAUGUAUGGUCUUGCGAGGUUGUUAGUAGGGGUCUCCAAAAAGCCCACGGCCCGCGGCCCGCUUUAGGCCCGGCCCGGCCCGAGCCCGUUUAUGGGCGGGCCGGGCCGCGGGCCUAAAUUUAGGCCUGGCCCGGCCCGUAGGCUUGGCCCGUAGGCCCGCCCGUAGGCCCGGCCCUUAGGCCCGCCUUUAAUUUUUAAAAAAAAAAUAAUAUACUAUAUUUUUAUAUAUAUAUAACUAAUUCAUUUAAUAAGCAUAAAAGAAAUGUAGCUCAGUUGGUUAGAGCCUUGAAAUUUAAGCUUGAGGGGAGGGGUUCGAAUCCCCCCCUCUUCCUUCCUUUAUUUAAAAGCCAUUUUGGCUUAUUUAAAAAAGCCCGCGGCCUGGCCCGCGGGCCCGGCCCUCCCAGCCCGCCAGACCGCUAGCCCGCGGGCUCAUAGGCCGGGCCGCGGGCCUAGCAUUUGAGCUCGGCCCGGCCCGUUGACCAGUCAACGGGCCCAUAGGCCCGGGCCGGCCCGGCCCGCCCGUUGGAGACCCUUAGUUGUUAGUAUAAAAAAGGAAGAUAAUUUUCAAAAAAUAAGAAGAUUUUUUUUUCAAUUAUUUCCUUAUAAUAAAAUAAAAACAUGAAUUUUUUCAUGAAAAAAAAGUAAACCAUAACAAACAAAGAUAAUCUUUAUUUUCUUGAAUUUUUUUUUUGUGAACUCCAAAUAAUAGUAAAUUAAACCCAUUUGAUUGAUUCAAUUAAUAUUAAAAAUUUAUUAAUUGAAAUUGAUUUAAAAUAUUCUACCAAUUCUUCUUUGAACAUAAUUAUAAUUUUUUAAUUUUUUUUUAUUAAACAAAUAGAUUUUAAAUGAAACUAGAUUUUACGUAUUCCAUUGAUUAAAGAGGCUUGUCCCUUUUUAAAAUAAAGAUUCUUCCGUAGUCUUGGGAAAAAGUUCUCUCACUCCUUUCAAACACCUUUCUUAGCAAAAUGUGGAGAAGGGUUAUUGGAAAUGAGUGAAAUUGAUGUCUUUUAUCCCUUGAAACUUCUAAGCAUUUGGUAAAAUUUUAAAUUUGUAAUGUUUAAUAAUUUAAAUAAUUUUAAAUUAAAUUAUGCUUAAAUUUUUUAUAUGAAUUUUAGUAUUUAAUUAUUACUUAAAUAUUAAGGUUGUUUACCAUAACCAAUUUAUUUAUUUAUUUUUAAAAUUUUAUUACUUAAUUACCACUAAAAAUAAGACUUAAAAGGAUGACAUCGGGUAAAUUUGUAUACUUUUCUUUCAAUUGUGAAUUUGUUCAAAUCCCAUGGUUUUUAUAUCCAUAUAAUCUCAGGAGAUUGUGUAGAUGAUUUUCCCCAUAAAAAUCAUUUGUUAUAUGGUUGAUUUCUCUAUUUUAUUUCAUAAGUGUUAAAGAGAAAUUAAAAAUUAAAAAUUCAGGUUAAAACGAAGUAAAUACUUAUUCACAAAAAUUAAAAAUAUUGGAUUAAAAAGAAAUAAAUACCUAUUCACCUCUUUAGGCAUUUCAUAAUUAACAUCUAUAAGUAGCUAUUUAUUACUAUACCUAUAAACUUUCAAAUAUUACAAACUUUUUACAAAAUUAAAAUAGAAAAAUUAUUUUUGAAAACAUAAGAACAAUUUUAUUUUCUUAUUUGAAAAUGGAAUUUUAAAAAGAACUUCCCAAACACUCUUAUUUGGUGUAAAAUAUGUAAUAAUCACAUUAGGGAGGAUUACUGUAUGAUAUUAUUAGAUUUACGAUGAUUAAAGAUACUUGUUCACACAAAGAAGAGUGAUGGUCGUCUCACAAAUUUGAUUUCCUAUAUCAAUAUUUGUUAUAUUUUCUAUGAAAGGUACAUUUAUGGGUGAAGAAGGUUAUAGUCAUAGGUUCCAUAAUUAUAGAGGGGGGAAUCGAGGAAACAUUAUGAAUGAAAAAGAAACGGACUCCACUACUAAGUGGUUCUGAAUGUCUGAAUGAGUAAUGAAAUAUCAUUUGGUCCCUAGAAACUGGCUCUCAUUCCUCUAGAAUUUACUUAGAUAAUGAUCACUUGUUUGAUUAGCUUUGUUUUAUUGAAUAAGCCAAAAAAAAGAAGCUAAUUGACAUGCACCUAAUUGACAAACAUUUAAGUGAGAAUUUGUUUGAACAUAUGAUUUGAAAACAUUUUUUUUCUUACUUUAAAAAUAAAACACCGUUUUUUAAAAUGCAUGGGCUUGGUUAGGUUGUUAGUCUCAAAAAAUAUUUUUUCAUAACAAAAUAAAAGGAUGGCAAUUAUCAAAAGUUAAGAAGUUGUUUUCGAUUAUUUCCUAAGAAUAAAAUUAAAACAUGAAAAUUUUUAAGAAAAAAAAGAAGUAAACCAUAAAAAACAAAGAUAAUAUCUAUUCUCUUGAUUUUUGUAUUUAUUGGAAAAACAAACUCUAAAUAAUGCUAAAUUUAAUGCAUUUAAUUUGUUAACAAUUUUAAUAAUUUAUACAAAUAAUUUAAAACAAAAAAAUUAAUUCAAUUAAUAUUAGAAAUGUAUUCACUAAAAUUGGUUUAAAAUGAUUCUAUUGAUUUCUUCUUUGAACAUAACUUUUUUUUUUCAUUAAAUAAAUAGAUUUAAGAUCAAACAAGAUUUUAUAUGUUGGAUUGGUUAAAGAGUCUAGUAAUUUUUUAAAAUGAUUUGUAUUUGAAGUUUAGUUACUUAUCUCUUCAUAUUUUUAUGACUAUUACUAGAAAAUAUGAAAGUUAUGAAAAAAAAAAAAAAUUACAAUGGAUAAGAGGACCUCCUUUUUUUUUUUAUGUUUUUUUUUUUUUUACUUAUCUCUUCAUAUUUUUAUGACUAUUACUAGAAAAUAUGAAAGUUAUGAAAAAAAAAAAAAAAUUACAAUGGAUAAGAGAACCCUUUUUUUUUUUGUUUCGGUGAUCAAGAUUUAUGCAUUAACAAACAAAGUUCAAAUCUUCUAAAAACGGGUAAGGUUGAUUUUAAAAGAGUUUAAAAUUUAACAAAAUUUAUUUGAACUAAUUUAACAAAAUUCAUUUGACUCACUUGAAAUAGGAUUACGUCAUUGAUCUUUAUGCGACUUUGAUCCUUGGACUCCACCCGUACUUUACUAUUGUAUUCAGUAUAUCCUGAGAGGUUUGUAAAAUCAUCAUUAUUCAUGAAAAUAGAUGUAAACAUUAACAAUUAAUGAAAAUUGUUAGAAAACUAAACUUACACAAGACAACAUAUAAUUGACUAAUUUGAGAGUAUGUUUAAUGCAAACAUCAAGUUUAAGAUAUGAUUUUUGCCCUUAUUACCAUGCAAUUUAUGACAUCAAUUGCAAACAUACAUGAUGGAAGCAUAUUGAAAAAACCAUAAUAAUUCUAUUUAGAAAUAUCUAAGUUGUUCUAUACUAAGAGAUGAAAUUCUGUUUGACGUUUUGAAAUGUACAUUUGUGAUAACAAUUUAAGUUAUCUAUGAAGUGAUUGAAUUGACAUGGGAGCACGAGAGUUGAGGUUUACAUUAUUGCUUCCGCAUUCAUAGACAUUGGAAUAAUGAGUGUUCAUAAUAAUAAUUUAUGACAAUUUUCUUUUCCUAUUUCUAAGAUUAGCAUUUUGAACUAAUUUUAAAAAUCAUAUCUAAUAAUUUAUUUUUGAAAUUUAAUAAUAAAAAUUUAAGUAAUAAUAAUAAUAAUAAUAAUAAUAAUAAUAAUAUAUUGAUUCUCAAACAUUUUAAAAACAAAAAUAUAAAAACAAAAUUUUUAUUUUUUUAACAAAUUAAUGAUAUGGGUGUCUUACAUUAAGUCAUUUUUAAUUUUAAUUUUCAAUAUUAUGUUAUUUUAUGAAACGCCCUUUUAUUAUACUUAACCUAGUAUCAAGAAUUAAAUAAUUUAAAUCAUAUUAAAUUGAUUUAGCAAAUACUCACUCAGUGUUGAAAAUAAUAAAAAAUUGAAACUUGUUUUUCCCUCCUUUCUUUGUAUGGCAUUUAAAAUGCGGGCUAUCAUUUUGGGACAAAUUCUUCUUGAUUCUUCAAUUUAAUUUUGCCAGUUGAAUGACGUGCCAAAUACUAUUGGGUCCUUAUUUUCCUCCACCCCAUUGGCAACCACAUGGCCAUUGGGUUUUGCCCCUUUCCAUCUUCUCAACAAGUUUCAACAGUUGAUGAAACAAUUUCCAUCUUAAAUUUCUAUAUUAUUUUUAGGUUGAAGAACACUGAAUUUCGUAGAUAUCAUCAACAAAUAUUUUACUUUUAUAAAUUUAUUUGCUUUAAUAAUUUAAAUUUAUAAGCAAAUAAAUAUUCAAUAAUGUGCACAUUCAUUUUUAUAUUAUUCUAAAUUAUUAAAGCUUUAUAUUUUAAAAAAUAUGAAACAACAUUUAAGAUUUUUUUAAAUAUAGUUCAAUUGUAGAAUUUCUAUAUUACUUUUUUUUUUAAUUUUAUAAAUGAAAAUAUGUUUUAAUUUAUGCUACAAAGUAACUCAUCAUCUUUUAUUUAAAAUCAACUUAAGUUAUUAAGAGUGUGUUUGAGAAUAAUUUUAGAAAGCGUUUAUAAUAUUUUUAAUACUUGAAUGAUAAAAAUUUUCAAAUAUCAUAAAUAUUAAAAGUAUUUUCUACUUAUAAAUAAUAAAUAUUAAAUUUUACCCCAUAUUUUAUUAGUUUAAUAAUUUGUUAUAUGUUUCAAAGCUGUUGCUUGAAAAAUCAUUAGGUAUGAACCGAAAAAAUCAUUAGAUAUGAAUAUGGAGAGGUGUGACAUGUUAUGCACAGGAUGUGAUGCUUUUGAUGAUGUCAUGGUAGUGACAACAUGGCCAUGCUAUCAUGUGGGUGAUAUGAGUUGGAGUCAUGGUAUGAUCAUGUUGCCAUUAGGGAGCCACGUGAAAUGAAUUAUUUAUAUUAUUUAUUAGGUGUGUGGUUAACAUAUUUCCAAUAGGACCACUGAAAAUUGAAAUGAUGGAUUUAACCUUCUUGAUGGGAAAUUGGAGCUUCUUGCUAGAAGACAAUGGAUGGUUAAUUAUAGAUAUUGAUAUUUUUCAUUUUUGUAAUUACCGGAUAAUAAUGGGUCUUGGUUUGACAAUGUGCUUCAAAAGUUCAUUAUCCUCAUCAAUUUGGACAAUUUUUCUUGACUCUUCUUAAUGGCCAUUGAUUCCGAGGACAUUACCAUGCUAAAAUGUGAUGGUCAAAUGCCAAUAAUUAAGAAGGAACUUCUUUUAAAAGAUUAGAAAGUUGCUGGUCAGUAGUUAGAUUAAUCCAUCUAAAACCCAAUUUGCUUGUUUAAAAACAUGUAGUAAAUCCCAUAUUAUUUAUAUAAAUAUAUUUAAUAUUCCAAUUUUUUUGAACUUAUUUAAUAUUUUAACUUUAUAUAUAUUCACAUGUAGAUUUGUAGUAUUUGAUUUUUUUUUUUUGUUUGAAUACGUAGCUUGAUAAAAAUUAAUUAUUUUUUAUAUGUACUUACGAUAAGGAAAUAAAAAUACUUUUAGGUUAUGUUUGGUUCUUGGAAAAUUUGGAGGAAAAUGUGAAGGAAAGAAAAAAUAGAGGUAAAGUGGAAGAAAAGAAAAUACGAAAAAAAUAAAAAAUAAAUUCAAAAUUAAUAAAUUAUUUUUAUAUGUUUUUUCAAACUCAUUUCACUUAAUUUCCUUAGAUAAAAUAAUUUUAAAAUGUAUAGAUUUUUAAUUAAUUUUAAUUAUAUUUAAUUUUCUUUAGAAAAUUUAUUAUGAAAUCAAAUAUGAAAAAAUAAUUUUCUUUUACAUUUUUUUUUCUUUUCUUGGUGCUUUUCAAGAGCCAAACAUAACCUUAUAUUUGUGAUCCUAAAGAGAAAAUAAGGCUAAAAAUUUUCAAAUAAAUUUGUCUACAUCAAAUAAAAUUACAAGGAUUUCAUUGUCAAACCCCACUCAUGGUUUGAAAGGAAAAAUGAUUUGGGAAGACAAACAACAUUCCAUCUCUUCCAUUACACAUGAGAGGCUAAUGUCUCAAGGACGAAGGAUUGGAAAAAUAGAGAAAAAUUGGCCCCUUACGAGUGUCUUGUUCUAUGCUAAUUCCGAACUUUUAGUACAAACUAAGAAUACUAGCGAUUUCAAGUUGGUUUUAGAUUCACUUGAAAUAAUUUUUUUUUUCCAUAAAUGUAUAAUUAAAUACAUGAACUCUACUACAAACCGUUGAAAACAAAAAACACUCGACUAGCAAAUGGUAUAAACUAUCAAGCUUGGCACACGCCAUAGUGCAAAGGGAGGCUAGAUGAAAUGAUUAGAGAAAGGUAAUAGGCAAGACAUGAAGAGAAAAAGCGACUAAAGUUCAUUGUAAUGAUGGCUACGGAGAAGAGAUCUUAUGAUCCUAGAGAUGAUUUUUGAGUCCAUGGUUGAUAUGAUAAUGGCAAAUUAACCAGAUUGAGGAACCAAAGGAUAUUCAUGGUUUUCCAUCCCAAAGAGUCAUAUAUGUUAGAAACGCUUCCAAGUAAGAAAAAUUAAGUCAUAAUCAGGAUUGAAAUUCAUUAAAAUUGAGUGAUGUUAUAUAAUAUUUUGACUUAGAAAUUUAGGUUAAAAUUAGGUUAAAAUUAUGCUGCUUUUUCAUAUUUUUUUCCCUCAAAUAUAAGUAAAAUUAAAUAAUUAAAAGCCAAUCUACAUCACCACUUAAAAAGGGGUUCCCAGCACACACUUAGAUGAUUUUAUUUGUUUAAAAAAGGUUGGACUAACAUUACAACCACUAUUCCUCGCCAAUGUCUUUCCACCCGAAGAGUUAUUUUAUUUAGUACACUACUACUCCAGUGAUUCCCUCUUGAGAAGGACUUAUUUAGCUAAACGAGAUUUAUAGUUUACAUGUAUAGGGCUAGAAUCAUGUUGAAAUUUAUUUGCUUUUAUUUGCUUUCCAUGUAAAGCAUCCUUGUAAAGUCUAUAUAUAAUAUACAAAACUCAAGGCCAAGGUAUUCAGCCAUUCACACAAUAUUUUGACAUGGUAUCAGAGCAAGGUUGCUAAUUUUUCUUCCCUCAAAUUCUUUUCUGUGUUUUCUGUCAAGUCUGUGUUGAUCCGUACUGCACCCAACCACAACCAUUUUUCUUAGUAUUUCUGUGGCUGUCGUGGGUCAGUUUUCUUCAAGGAUUUUUUUGGUCAAUCCUUUUGUCUCGGGUUCUAUUUAUUUUCUAUGGAUUCCGCACCUCUGUGUGUUAAGUUUACAUGCACAAAUUAUUCUACCUGGGCAUUUCAGUUUGAACUUUUUCUCAAGGGAAAAGACCUUUGGGGUCAUAUUGAUGGCACGGAUGUUGAAAAACCAUCCACUUUUGACAAAUCUUAGGAUGUUGGGUUUUCUCCUUCAUGGGCUGUGCUUGAUGCACGCAUCAUGUCUUGGCUUCUUGGUUCAAUGGAGCCUCAUAUUGUCACCCACUUGCGGCCCCAUCGCUCCGCUCAAUCUAUGUGGGCUUAUUUGAAGAAAGUUUAUCAUCAGGAUAACGAUGCUCGUCGUUUUCAAUUAGAACAUGCGAUUGCCAUGUUUCAACAUGGUAGUCUUUCCAUCCAGGACUACUACUCGGCAUUUUUGACUCUUUGGCAUGAAUAUGCUGAUUUGGUUACAGUGGAUGUUCCUAUUGCCGCUCUCUCAACUAUUCAGACUAUUCACGCGACUACCCGGCGUGAUCAGUUUCUUAUGAAACUACGUCCAGAAUAUGAAUCUGUCCGCUCCUCUUUACUGAAUAGAUCUCCUGUUCCCUCUCUUGAUAUUUGUUUUGGUGGGUUACUUCGCGAAGAGCAACGCCUUAGUACUCAAGCUAUUUUGGAGCAAUCUCAUGGCAGUUCCAGGAUGACAACUGUAGCUUAUGCUACCUGAGGACGCGAACCACCUAUGCAUUCUAAAAACUUGCAGUGUUUUUGCUGCAAGGAAUAUGGGCAUAUUGCUGCCACUUGCCCUAAAAAGUUUUGUUCUUAUUGCAAGAAGAAGGGUCACAUUAUCAAAGAAUGUCGUAUUUGCCCCCAGAAUCGUCAGGCCCAAACAUUUCAGACUUUGGUUAUUGUCCCUCCUAUAGCAACUUCUGCAACACACGACUUUCCUUCAACUGCGUGCUCUGUUCCUGCACCUCCUGCACCAGAUUACUACACCCCAGAAAUGGUGCAACAGAUGUUAAUUUCAGCAUUAUCAGCAAUGGGGUUUCAAGGUACCAAUUCUACUAAACUUUGGUACGUGGACUCGAGGGCCUUUAAUCACAUGACUAAUAAUCCCACCGCUUUGUGUCAUGUUCGACCCUACACUAGUCAAUCUUCCAUUCAGACUGCCAAUGGCAGCUCUUUGCCCAUAGCUGCUAUUGGCGAUGCCUCUUCUAAGUUCACUGAUGUGUUUCUUACUCCUCAGCUUUCCACGAAUCUUAUUUCAGUUGGCCAAUUAGUUGAUAACAAUUGUGUUGUUAAUUUUUCUGGUAAUGGUUGUGUUGUGCAGGACCAGGUAACGGGGAAGCCGAUCGCAAAGGGACCUAAAGUGGGGUGCUUGUUUCCACUAUUUUUACCUGUUCCAGAUUUUUCUCCACUUUCUUCUAUUAAGUCUUUUGCUUGUAAUAAUGUUUCCGAUCUUAGUAUGGUGUGGCAUCGUCGUUUAGGCCAUCCCAAUACUCAGAUCUUAUCUCAUGUAUUGAACUCUGAUUUACCUGGUAAUAAGGAUCGUUAUUCUUUAUCUCUUGAGUGUGAUUCUUGCAAACUUGGUAAAAGUAAAACUCUUCCAUUCCCUUUGCAUGCAAGUAGAGCAUCUCACUGCUUUGAUCUUAUCCAUAGUGAUGUUUGGGGACCUUCCCCGAUUAGUUCACAUGAGAAAUUUAAAUAUUAUGUGACUUUCAUUGAUGAUCAUAGCAGAUUUACUUGGGUCUACUUUCUUCGCUUUAAAUCUGAGGUCUUUCGUACUUUCACUGAGUUUUUAGCGUAUGUUGACAAUCAAUUUUCUACUUCUAUUAAGACAUUACGCACAGAUUCCGGUGGUGAGUAUUUGUCUACUGAGUUUCAAGCAUUCUUGGCUUCUAAGGGUAUUAUUCAUCAACGUUCAUGUCCCUCUACUCCUCAACAAAAUGGAGUUGUCGAACGCAAAAAUCGUCAUCUUUUAGAUGUGGUACGUAUUCUCUUGUUAGAAUCUUCUGUUCCAUCCAUGUUUUGGGUAGAGGCUCUAAAAACUGCUACUCACUUGAUUAAUCGUUUACCUUCUCAAGUCCUACAUAUGGAGUCUCCCUAUUUCCGCUUAUUUGCUAAGCAACCUAGUUAUGAUCACCUUUGUAUUUUUGGUUGUGUAUGCUUUGUUCAUUUACCUCCUCAUGAGCGACAUAAAUUAUCUGCUCAAUCUGUUCGAUGUGCUUUCUUAGGAUAUAAUAUGUGUCAAAAGGGAUUUGUUUGCUAUGAUCCUACAUUACAUCGUACACGUAUUUCUAGGAAUGUUAUUUUCUUUGAAAAUCAACAUUUCAUUCCUAUAUCCUCUUCUACUGUGUCAUCCUCUUCUAUUGUGGUCCUUCCCUUCUUUGAGCAACAGUUCUCAGAUCUUCAUCCAGUCAGCUCUCGCUUUCAACCAGGUAUUGUGUAUACGAGACGCUCCCGCCCACAGUCUCUUUCGGUGGCUCACCCGAUAUCUGAUCCUACCACGCUCCAGAUGCAGUCAGUUGCAGCACCUUCAGUACGUCGCUCUUCUCGAGUGUCUGUACCUCCGAAUAGGUAUGGAUUUCCCUCUUCCAGUUCCUGCAAUUCUAUUUCAACCCUUACUGCUGCAUUGUCCAAAUUUGAUAUUCCCACAUGCUACUCACAUGCUGCUAAGCAUGAUUGUUGGCGACAAGCUAUGCAGGAAGAAAUUGCCGCUCUAGAGGCCAAUCACACUUGGGACAUUGAGCCCUGUCCUCCCACUAUUGUUCCUCUAGGUUGCAAAUGGGUUUACUCAGUCAAGGUCCGAUCUGAUGGAAGUUUGGAUCGUUACAAAGCUCGGCUUGUUGCACUUGGGAAUAAUCAGGAAUAUGGUGUCAAUUAUGAAGGGACCUUUGCUCCUGUGGCUAAAAUGACUAUUGUUCGUAUGAUUCUAGCUCUUGCUGCUUCCAGUUAUUGGCCACUACAUCAGAUGGAUGUAAAAAAUGCUUUUCUUCAUGGGGAUCUUAAAGAGUGUAUUUAUAUGAAGCCACCCCCGAGAUUGUUUCCCUCUUUGACUUCACAUGUGUGUAAGCUUCAUCGCUCUCUUUAUGGUCUCAAACAGGCUCCGAGGGCUUGGUUUGAUAAAUUCCGCACCACUUUAUUACAAUUUUCAUUCAGACAGAGCAAGUACAACACUUCCUUGUUUCUUCGGAAAUCAGAUAUGGGUAUUGUUGUUCUUUUGGUUUAUGUUGAUGAUAUUGUGAUCACUGGUUCCGAUUCUGCUUUACUUGGUUAGCUCAAAACUCAUCUCUCCGAGUCCUUUCAUAUGAAAGAUUUUGGGUCUCUCACAUAUUUUCUUGGUCUUGAGGUACAUCAUAGCCACUCUAGUAUUUCCCUCAAUCAACAUAAGUAUGCGAGUGACUUGGUGGCUACAACUGGUCUACAAGGGGCUACUUCUGUUGAUACUCCCAUGGAAUUAAAUGUCAAGCUUCGCAAAGAGGAGAGUGACUUACUUGCUGAUCACAGUUUAUAUAGGAAGUUGGUGGGUAGCCUUGUUUAUCUCACCAUUACUAGAUCGGACAUUUCUUUUGCUGUACAGCAAGUCAGCCAGUUCCUUCAGACUCCUCGUCAUUUUCAUUUGGCUGCUGUUCAUAGGAUCAUACGCUAUGUUCAAGGCACUUAUACUCGUGGCUUGUUCUUCCCUGCAGGCAAUUCUACUCGCCUUGCUGCUUAUAGUGAUGCUGAUUGGGCUGGUUGUGCGGAUACCCGUCGCUCAUCACUGGGUGGGUGUGUGUUCUUAGUGAUGCAUUGAUUUCUUGGAAAAGUAAGAANNNNNNNNNNNNNNNNNNNNNNNNNNNNNNNNNNNNNNNNNNNNNNNNNNNNNNNNNNNNNNNNNNNNNNNNNNNNNNNNNNNNNNNNNNNNNNNNNNNNGUCGCUCCAUCACUGGUUGGUGUGUGUUCUUAGGUGAUGCAUUGAUUCUUGGAAAAAGUAAGAAGCAAGACAGAGUCUCUAAGUCAUCUACGGAAUCUGAGUACCUGGCGAUGUCUCUUGUUUGUUCUGAAAUCAUUUGGCUUUGAGGUUUGCUUGCGGAGUUAGAUUUUUUUGAGAUCGAUCCUACACCUCUACAUGCCGAUUAUACAAGUGCUAUUUAGAUCACAACCAAUCUUGUCUAUCAUGAGCGCACAAAGCAUAUUGAAGUGGACUGUCACUCUAUCUGUAAAGCCUUUAAAGCUCGUGUUAUCAUUCUUCCACAUAUUUCCACUGACUUACAAAUUGCUGAUAUCUUCACCAAGGCUCUCCCUCGUCAUCGACAUUGCUUGCUAAGUAGCAAAUUGAUGCUUGUUGAUCAACCUGCAUCAAUUUGAGGGGGGCUGCCAAAGAACAGCUUUACUGUCCCUUCUUUCCUUAUUUUAGCCCACAAGCUGUCCACCCUUCUUUCCUUAUUUUAGCCCACAAGCUGUCCACACUUCCUUCCUUAUUUUAGCCCACACUUGCUGUCCACACUUCUUUUCUUAAUUUAGCCCACCAUUCUUUCCUUAUUUUAGCCCACAAUUGUUUCCUUAUUUCUCCAUUUAUUAUUCUGUACAGUUAGCAUAUAUUAUGUGACAGAUUAUAGUUUUCAUGUAUAGGGCUAGAAUCAUGUUGGAAUUUAUUUGCUUUUAUUUGCUUUCCAUGUAAAGCAUCCUUGUAAAGUCUAUAUAUAAUAUACAAAACUCAAGGCCAAGGUAUUCGACCAUUCACACAAUAUUUUGACACCGGUUAGUGAAGAAUAUUACUUUUCAUAGAAAAUGACUCAUAGCUUGCCUCCAUUAUUCUUCAUCUCUAGUUUCAGUGCUUAUUCAACAGGUGCUUUCAUUAAUUUGCCUUGGAAAGUAUCUGACUGGCUUUAAGAAAACAUGAGAGAUAUCAAAAAAAUUUACUAAGUAUAUAUAUGAAGAUACUUCUUUUUUUCUGUGCCAAAGUUUUGCCUUCAAAUUAAGUAAUUUUGGGGCUAUUGCAAUUACAUGUGUAAUACGUUCUGGUAGUCCCUUUCUUGGUAUAUUCAUAUUCAUGCUUUGAAUUAUCAGUUGAUACUUUAUCCUAGUUAACAAAGUAAAAUGGUGUCUGCCUUUUCCAAAAGCUGUAUUAAACUUUUCAUCAUUCAUCAAGAUGAUUGACAUCUUUUUCAAUAUGUUAUUAUCAUGCUUCUAGAGGUAUGGAAAAAAGGGUUUUCUUGCUGCUUCCAAGCAUCUUUCUAAGUGAUAUGUGGAGACAGGUUAUUGGAAAUCAAUUAAGUUGAUAUCGCAAUCUGUCAAUCUCAUCUUUCUAGCUGUCUCUCCCCCACCGUUGAACUUCAGUCUUGUCCACCAAUCUCAAUUAUUGGAAUGCUCUCCUUUACUUAAUCUCUUGCUUGUAAGGCAUCUCUACAAUAAGUUCAUUAUGUGAAUGCUUGCAACAAUAUCAAACCACCAAGAGUUUGGUAGUAUAUCAAUUAAAUAGAAUUCAUAAAACAAUAAGCAUUGAGUUUUACCUUUUCCAAUCAAGAUUGAAAACCAGAACAGUCUCUUCUUUUGUGACCUUUCUUAUGGUAAAAAUAACAUUGUAUCCUAUUUUCAUCAUUUUGCCCAUUGUGAGAUGCAUUAUUACUUGCUUAUUUUUCUUACCCAUGCCUUUCUCCAAGAAUUUUUUUUACUUGCAUGGAUUUACAAUAUUGAGAUGAGCCCUAUUGGGAUUUUCCACUUUAAGCCUUUCUUCUUCUUGAACACAUGACAAUUAAUUCAAUCAUUUUCCACUUAUCCUUCUAUGUAUUAUAAUUAAUUUUGAAAUAGCCAAAUUGUGAAGGAAUGAGAGUCAUUAUGAAGUGAAGGAUAAAACCUUCAGAAAUUAUCAUGUCUAUUCACUUCAAAUUGAGAAGCCAUAUCACUCAUCUUUACGAUGUGUUCAUAUACACCACUAUGAUCAUUAUAUUUCAUUGUUAUCAUUUUGAUUAUAAAAGUACUUGCUAAGGACUUGAAAAUUCUUAAGAGUUGUUCCUCAAGUAAUUUAAUAUAGUUUAUUGUAUUAUAUGAAUAGGUGAUUGCUUCGUAAAUGACAAGAGUGAUUGAACCUUUCAUCAUUAUUAGAUUCAUGUGAUUAGAGUGCUCCCACUUUUCAUAAAAAAACCUUUUGUUCCUUAGUGCUUUCAAAAGUAUACUUUGUUGGUGUAAGUUCUCUUAAGACAUAGUCUAAAUUGUUAUAGUCAAGAACAAUUCCAAUUCGUUUCUUUCUUUUUUCAAAGUUUGCCCCACUUAAUUGUUCAAUUCCAGACUAUCUAAUAGCAUUAGGAUUCAUUGUUGCAAAAAAAAAAAAAAAAAAACUAAUUCAUACAAAAUUAUUUUUAUGUCAUGAUAAUAUUUAACACUACACUUUACAAUAAUCUAACUACUACAAAAUUAAUUAAAUAUCACAUUAAUCAUAAGCGUAAGAGAUCAUAUCAUAAUUUUUUCAUUGGAUCAAACUAUAAUCACAUAACACAAAAAGUAUAUUAUUAUAAUCUUUCCCUUGGGUUGAAUUAUAAUAAUUUAUAAAUUAUAUAAAUAUGAUCUAACCAUUAAAGUAAAGGAAUUGAAACAUAAGGAAGUUUAACACCAAUGGAUUAAAACUUUAUCCGCCUUUUAUUAUUGAGCUUUUAUCAUAUAAUCAAAUAUAGUGAUGAUCCUCCAUUGGGUUGAUCUAAACAACAUAUAACAUAAUCAAUCACAAACAAACAAGUAAAUCAACAUACAUGCCAGAUAAAACCAUCUCUUGGAAUUUCCAUAGUCACAUGUUUAAAUUACUAAUCAUAAAUUUUUUCAUAAAAUCAUGCAAUAGAUAUGAUUAAAAUUAUAAAACAUUAUGUACAUUGAUACAUCAUUCAUAUACAUCAUGAUAUAUAUAUACUUUAAAGCAAUGAUCGUAUUCUUACCUUGAUCCAUGAUACCGAUAACGAAGUUAAAAUUAUAUUUAAGUUAUUAAUUUAAAACUUAUUAUCUAAUUCCUCCUUUAAAUAUUAAGGUUGCUUAUUAAAAUCAACUUAAUCUAAUUUUUUGAACUAUUAAAUAAACAUUCAUAUUAAGUAAUCAUGUUAUAAAAGAGAAACAAAGGAAAGCAUAGACAUGACCACUUAAGGUAAAGGAUGUUUACGAUUUAGAAAAAGUCAUUAUUUUAAUUAACUUAUUACAUUAAAUCAUUUUUAACUUUAAGUUAUAAUAUUAAUUUAUUUUAAUAAACAUACUUAAUAUACUUAACCAAUACCAUUAAAUCACUAAACCAUAUUAAAUCAUUGAAUUGAUUUAUCAAACACUCUUUUGGUACUGAAAAUAAUGAAAAUUUGAAGUUCAUUUGUUAUGUUUUUCUCACCUUUCUUUCUAUGGCAUUUAACCCUAUCAUUUUUGGAUCAAUGCUUCUUAAUCCUUUGUUUAAUUUUUUUUCCCUUAAAUGAAUUAGCAAUACCACUCAACAAGAGUGAUGGAAUAGACAUGACACCGGUAAAUGAAUUAGCAAUACUACUACACAUAGAAUUAUUUGUUUGUUUACUUUUCAAUCUUCUUACUCGGAACAUGUAUUAUUAAUGUUUUGUCUUCGCCAACAAAGCUAAAUGAUGUUCGGCCUUUUUUCCAAAAAGAGGCGCUGAACUUUUGUCAUCUUUUCCCUUUGUUAUUAUCAUUCUGAUAGUGGUUUUGGCCCUUUUGCUCGUCUGAAAUUUCUACAUUUUUCCUCUUAAGUUGAAGAAAACAGUGAUGCUUAAUUAGUUCCAUUGUUUUGCCUCCUUGGUGUUGGGUUUUUUCUGCAUUUAUUAAAACCUUCCAUUUCAUUUUUUUCAUUUGUUAACUUAUUACAUAACAUUUGUACAAUCAGUUCUAAGCAAAUAAAUGAGAAAGAAGCAGUCAAAUCAUUCAUACAUACAUACAUAGGUCCUCAUCGGCCUUUCAAACUGAAGAAUCAGUGGUUUGAAAUGUAGAAGGGCAUUUGGAACUGAAUGUUUGAGAUUGAGGGCGGUUGGGCUUGGAUUCUCCGCGGUUGAAAAACUUGGUUGUCCAUGAUGGUGGAGAAACACAAGUACAC